Molecule: transfer RNA, 73 nt
Filed under: Dipodomys ordii (Ord's kangaroo rat)
Lineage: Eukaryota; Metazoa; Chordata; Mammalia; Rodentia; Heteromyidae
Rfam family: tRNA
About the family: Transfer RNA (tRNA) molecules are approximately 80 nucleotides in length.
Source: Rfam by way of RNAcentral
GGAAGCAUGACUCACGUGGCAGAGUGCCUGCCUAGCAAGCACAAGGCCCUGAGUUCAAACCCCAGUGCUGCUG